Molecule: ribosomal RNA, 253 nt
Filed under: uncultured bacterium
Lineage: Bacteria
Description: partial 16S ribosomal RNA
Rfam family: Bacterial small subunit ribosomal RNA
Source: RNAcentral
UACGUAAGGGACAAGCGUUGUCCGGAAUCACUGGGCGUAAAGCGCACGUAGGCGGUUACGCAAGUCAGGGGUGCAAGCUCCAGGCCUAACCUGGAAACUGCCUCUGAAACUACGUUACUUGAGUGUUAGAGGGGAAGCUGGAAUUCACGGUGUAGCGGUGAAAUGCGUAGAUAUCGUGGAGAACACCCGUGGCGAAGGCGGGCUUCUGGCUAACAACUGACGCUGAGGUGCGAAAGCUAGGGGAGCGAACGGG